CUGUUUUCCGCCACUGCCAACUCCACAGACACCUGUCAUUCCAGGGACAUCAGAAUCCUCACAGUGAAACCACGUGUCUCUUCAACAGUCUGAGCGCACACUAGCUGGGCCCUCCUCGCCAUCAUCCUUUCUCUGCACCUGGGCUGGCUCCUCAUCUGCUACUUGAGACAUGGGCGUUUCCCAAGGGUCUCAUCAUUCUCACCAGCUGGCUCUUCUGGAUGAGUCUUAAAUCUUCGGCUCCAGCGCUGUUUUCCUUCUACACCCCAGGCUUGUCUAGUAAGCUGCCAGACAAUUCCACGUAAAUGUCUGUCAGCCCCUCUAUCAAAUGAGGAUCUUUAAAUUCUUUCUACACGCACAAAAACAAAACCCAAGGAAAAGGCCACCAGGACUUGUCUAUUUCGGUUAAUGGUACCACAUCUUCCUGCCCUCCUAAGCCUGAACUUCAGAGCUACGCGAUUGCUGCCUUCACGGGGCCCUGCCCCCUCUCCCUUCUCCUACAGCUCAGUGCAGUUACAGUGUCCCACAAUUUGGCCUGUCUCACACAUCCUCACAUCCCUCUAGCCUGGCUAUAUUAUCCAGAGCCGCCCCUCCCUGGACACAUCAGUGCCCCACCCAGUGUGACCAGACACCCUCUCCAAUUUGCCGUAGCACCAACCCUGUCAUUCUGCCUUCAGUGACUCCUGGCCUACAUGUAGGGUGACACUUGAAGUACCUCUCCUUUCCACUCCUUCCUAGAGGCUUGUCAAUAAUCCUUCAGUUUCAGGACCAUGGGACAGUCCAGGGGACGUGUGGGAAGGACGGGAGAGCACUUGCAGACUUCAGGGCAGUAACUGCAGAAGUACUUUUAAGUUUGGGCAUCAGUUCCACCCUCAGACAAAGUCCAAGUCCUUGGCCCUUCACCAUAAGUCCUGUCAGACUUCCCAGCCACCACACACUGCACCCGCCUCCGCCCCAGUGUCCUGCCCCAAACUAACUGCUUGGCACUUGCCUCUGUUCAAAAUGUCCUGACUCUGCUUUUCCUUUACUGGGUUCUUCACAGUGUGACUGCUCUUCCUGUUCCCCUCAUACCAACAAAUUGUGUCUGUCCUCAAGACUCAAUUCAUGGAAGCUGCCUCCCCAAAGCAGCCUAUCCUUAAGUGAGCUCUUUAUUCUAAACUCAUUACAAUAUUGCUCUUUGAGCAACUCAUCACGAAUAGCCUGUGACAUCUCCUCUAUUGUAUUCCUGAACUGUUACUCAAGGCUUCAAUGAUCUGCACCUAUUUAGACAGCCCAGUCAGUGUGUUACCUCCUGAGGGCCAGAGGGGACCGGAUCCGCCAUGGGACAGGCACACUAUGAAGCAGAUGAGCAUCAGUGAACAGUUACUGAUCGUCUGGUGGGAGAUGGGGACCAAACUUUAAGGUAGGUGACCUCUGACCUCCCCUCUGCACAGGCACGCAUUUACCCUCCCUGGCUCAGUACCCUCACGGUACCCGUGCCCACUUAGCACCCAAUAUUUGUUACUACUCCCAACAUCCUCUGCCCCUCAAGAAACUUCCCUGUCCAGUUUCUUCCCUACUCAAAGUGUUAAUGUAGCUAAUCUGAUAAACUAACCUGUGCUGAUGCAGUUAUGGGAGUGAGAAGAGAACCAAAGGAGAUGGGUUUUUUUUUUAGCCAUGUGGCAACACCCCUGCCUUUGUGAUGCUUUCAGAGUCAGGAGUUGAGUGGUAGUCCUUACCUCCCAGCAGCUGAUGUGUUCCUCCCUCCUGGGCUCCCACGACACUUGUAUAUACCUCUUAUUGAGGCAAUAGCACACUGUAGCUCCUUAAUUAUGUGUUUAUGUAUGUUUCCCCUCCAAUAGGCUGUGAGCUCCUCAAGGACAGGGACUGUGUGUCAGUCACUGUUAUAUCCACAGCGCCUAGCACAGUGCCUGGCACACAGUAGGUGCUCAAUAAAUGUUUAUUGAAAGGAUGAACGAGUCCUGAGUCCCAUUAUGGAGACUUCUGCUCUAUACUCUGGAAGGCAAGAGGAGAGGAAAGAUAAUCCAUACUUGGGAACUUCACAGCUUUUUAACUCGUCUAACACUGCUGGUAGCUGCUUCCUUUGCCCAUGUCUAUAGCUGUCUCUGCACAACAGGCCCACAAGGAUCCCAAGGAGUUUCCAGCUACGCCUCGCUGUCACCAGAAGAGGCAGUUACCUCCAGCUCCAAAGCCGCUGGGCCUGGAGGGAGUGAGCUCAUUCACCUCCGGGCGCCUGGCAGCCUUCGAGAUCGCCUCUGCCCUGGCGCGCUGGAUGUGGAAGCCGAUGUGCAGCAGGUGGCGCUGUGGAGCCGGUGAUGGCCAGCAG
Heterocephalus glaber (naked mole-rat) is the source of this 2323-nucleotide long non-coding RNA. Lineage: Eukaryota; Metazoa; Chordata; Mammalia; Rodentia; Bathyergidae. The record is from Ensembl.